Molecule: ribosomal RNA, 390 nt
Filed under: uncultured bacterium
Lineage: Bacteria
Description: bacterial SSU rRNA
Rfam family: Bacterial small subunit ribosomal RNA
Source: RNAcentral
AUUGAACGCUGGCGGCAGGCCUAACAUAUGCAAGUCGAACGGUAGCACAGAGAGCUUGCUCUCGGGUGACGAGUGGCGGACGGGUGAGUAAUGUCUGGGAAACUGCCUGAUGGAGGGGGAUAACUACUGGAAACGGUAGCUAAUACCGCAUAACGUCGCAAGACCAAAAGAGGGGGACCUUCGGGCCUCUUGCCAUCAGAUGUGCCAGAGUGGGAUUAGCUAGUAGGUGGGGUAACGGCUCACCUAGGCGACGAUCCCUAGCUGGUCUGAGAGGAUGACCAGCCACACUGGAACUGAGACACGGUCAGACUCCUACGGGAGGCAGCAGUGGGGAAUAUUGCACAAUGGGCGCAAGCCUGAUGCAGCCAUGCCGCGUGUAUGAAGAAGGCC